AAUCUCCAUCGUAAUGCUAUCUCGGUGUCAUCUUAGGUCACUUUCUUCAUUAUUUGUGAACGGCACCCUGGUGCCUAAUGUCCAGUGUGCCGGGAAUGAAUCGGAAUCGACAUGCCCAGUGUCCGGCUGGGACUGCUACUGGUCUGGUCUAUUUUACUGCAUAUUAUCACUCGAGCAUUGGUUUUGUUGGGUUCGGGUGUUGGGGGACGAUCGUAUCUGAAUCGGAGAUUUGACUCCGAUCUCGUUGAGCCUAAAGCCUCCUAAAGCCUAAAGACAUGGCCGUCGUUUGAAUCUUCCAAAAUGCUGGAAAGCUUCUUCGCAGCGAGGUCAAGUCAGUGCAGCGUUACUGAAUCCGUUCCUCCCAUCAUCCUUCUUUCCGGCCCUCGCUCCUGUGGGAAGACUUCUAUUUUGUUUCAAUUCGCUAUCAACCGCGCCCGGGAGAGUCGUGGUAAUGUGGUUUUCAUCUGCAACAAGAGGCGGCUGGAGUACAAGCCACCCUUUUUGUCUCAGGACGGUGAUCCAUCUGCUGAUGUCCUUGAAAGAAUAGAAAUGAAGUACAUUGAAGACUAUAAUGGAAUGAUGAAGUAUUUUGCAGCUUUUCACCUGCACAAGACCUUUCCUGCUGCAAUUGUCAUUGAUGAUUUUGAAGAUCAUUUUAUUGAUAGGACCUGUAAACAAAGAUAUGGCAAUGCAAGGGGUCGGGAUCUAGCCAUGGCCCGAUGUCUUGCUUUAUGCCGAGAUGCAAUACUACAUGCAAACCAAAAACUGGAAGACCAAGCUUCGUGUAAACUUCUAUUGGCUGAUACGCACCAAGGAGACAACCCAAGGCUGCUAUUUAUCUAUAAGAGAUGGGUACAUUGCAUCUUGACAAUUCAUGGUGAUGUUAAUGGUUUCUUCAUUUUGAAGAAUAGCAACGUUUCAAGCAACGCCCUGGAAACAAGAAGGGCCAAAUACUCCAUUGCACUCCAAUCUCUCUUGCUGGAAGCGAUACUUGAAAGUCCUGCUAAAAGUGACGAGCAAAGCCUGCCAGUUGUGCGUUAGUGUUCACCGUUGGCCCUCAUUUUCCAAAAAUCCAAGGCUGCCACCUGGCAAUGCAACACCAAAGACAUGCUCCUCAAAUUACCAUGGAAGGCUCUUUUGUUCCUUUCUCGUCUUGUUCAAAAUUUUGGCGAGGAUGUUCCAUGCCAAUCGAGCUCGUCUAACUAAUUCUUUAGCUUUUUCGUUUUCUUUGAGCAGUGAGUUGCGAAGCCAAUGUAGCACUUUCAGUGAUGUUGAUUAGAAACUCUGAGAAACCCUUGGCCUGCAAAUUUGCAUCGGUAUCCAAGAUUUUGGCUCGACUAAUCCUAAAUAUGGACAAUCUGACCCCACAAACUGACCACCAGAUAAAUCUGAGAAGCACGGAUGGAUCUUGACAAGACACCAUAGCAUCAACAGUGGUUUGAACUUCAUGGGCAUUUGAAAAUGCCAUGUGUGAGAUUCGAACUCUUGUUGCAUUUGAUUCAUCCUUGCCUUUACACUAUAUUAGUCUUUCCCAUAGUUGGUCAAUGAUUACUAUCAAAAUACUUAUAGUUUAUCAAAAUAUCUCAUAGCAAACAUUGU
Zingiber officinale is the source of this 1599-nucleotide RNA transcript. RefSeq lists it as uncharacterized. The record is from RefSeq and is a predicted model, not a curated record. Lineage: Eukaryota; Viridiplantae; Streptophyta; Magnoliopsida; Zingiberales; Zingiberaceae. The transcript is spliced from 9 exons.